Molecule: ribosomal RNA, 171 nt
Filed under: uncultured bacterium
Lineage: Bacteria
Description: partial 16S ribosomal RNA
Rfam family: Bacterial small subunit ribosomal RNA
Source: RNAcentral
CACGCCGUAAACGAUGAGAACUAGGUGUUGCGGGUAUUGACCCCUGCAGUGCCGCAGCUAACGCAUUAAGUUCUCCGCCUGGGAANACGCGCAGAACCUUACCUGGGCUUGACAUCUACGGAACCUUCGUGAAAGCGAGGGGUGCCUUUCGGGGAGCCGUAAGACAGGUGC